This 503-nucleotide ribosomal RNA is filed under the name Clostridioides difficile. Its description in RNAcentral is "bacterial SSU rRNA". It matches the Rfam family "Bacterial small subunit ribosomal RNA", at positions 262 to 783 of the family's 1533-position model. The record is from RNAcentral. Lineage: Bacteria; Bacillati; Bacillota; Clostridia; Peptostreptococcales; Peptostreptococcaceae.
GGCUUACCAAGGCGACGAUCAGUAGCCGACCUGAGAGGGUGAUCGGCCACAUUGGAACUGAGACACGGUCCAAACUCCUACGGGAGGCAGCAGUGGGGAAUAUUGCACAAUGGGCGAAAGCCUGAUGCAGCAACGCCGCGUGAGUGAUGAAGGCCUUCGGGUCGUAAAACUCUGUCCUCAAGGAAGAUAAUGACGGUACUUGAGGAGGAAGCCCCGGCUAACUACGUGCCAGCAGCCGCGGUAAUACGUAGGGGGCUAGCGUUAUCCGGAUUUACUGGGCGUAAAGGGUGCGUAGGCGGUCUUUCAAGUCAGGAGUGAAAGGCUACGGCUCAACCGUAGUAAGCUCUUGAAACUGGGAGACUUGAGUGCAGGAGAGGAGAGUGGAAUUCCUAGUGUAGCGGUGAAAUGCGUAGAUAUUAGGAGGAACACCAGUUGCGAAGGCGGCUCUCUGGACUGUAACUGACGCUGAGGCACGAAAGCGUGGGGAGCAAACAGGAUUAGAU